CAGCCGCCACGGUAAUACGAAGGGGGCUAGCGUUGUUCGGAAUUACUGGGCGUAAAGCGCGCGUAGGCGGACAUUUAAGUCAGGGGUGAAAUCCCGGGGCUCAACCCCGGAACUGCCUCUGAUACUGGGUGUCUAGAGUUCGGAAGAGGUAAGUGGAAUUGCGAGUGUAGAGGUGAAAUUCGUAGAUAUUCGCAGGAACACCAGUGGCGAAGGCGACUUACUGGUCCGAUACUGACGCUGAGGUGCGAAAGCGUGGGGAGCAAACAGGAUUAGAUACCCGCGUAGUCCCUGUCUCUUAUAC
This 301-nucleotide ribosomal RNA is filed under the name uncultured bacterium. RNAcentral's name for it is "partial 16S ribosomal RNA". It matches the Rfam family "Bacterial small subunit ribosomal RNA", at positions 509 to 807 of the family's 1533-position model. The record is from RNAcentral.